Grus americana (Whooping crane) is the source of this 331-nucleotide long non-coding RNA. RefSeq lists it as uncharacterized. The transcript has 3 exons. The record is from RefSeq and is a predicted model, not a curated record. Lineage: Eukaryota; Metazoa; Chordata; Aves; Gruiformes; Gruidae.
UCAAUAAUUUUGUAUUGAGUGUUCAGGUGUUUGCAAGAUGAUUUAAUAGUAUGCUUUUUUUUUAUUUAUUCUUCUAGGUGCAUUGUGUUUGACUGGAGUUCCUGACUUUAUUGAAGAUGGAACCUUGUUUUUUCACCAGUUUUUCUGUAUACUGUUUUCUCCAUAGCUGAUGGGAGGUACAACAGUCAUGAGAGAGGCAGUGUAAACCACCUGGCCCUCUGCAUCACAGUGUGCAGGCCUGAACGUCAGAAGAGUCUCGUCUCGUAAAGCAUGAGGUGCAAAUCAAUGUGCGAAGCAGGAUAUCCACACCAGAAUGGACUUAAGCAAGGUG